UUGGGGAAAAGAAAGGGAAGAAGGAGAAGAGACAGGAAAAAGAAAUUCCAAGAGCCACCGCGGAAAGUGGAGAGUAUGAACGCGCAAAGCAUAAAAUGAAGUCGUAGCCGCAUACACUUGACUUCUCUUGACAUGUGAAAAGUGCUAAAAGUCAAAGCUCAUCAAUAAAGUAUCUUGAAAUUGAAUAAGAGCCCUGACAACCAUUGCAUUCUUAAAUAAAGUACAAUGAGGAGACAAACGACUCUGCCAAGGAGUUUGCAUGUGAGUGAAAGGGCGCCUCAAUGGGAGCGGGAUAAUGGGCUGCUCGGCCGUCAUGCACUGUCAUCCCCUGUCCCGCCGAGAAGCUGCCACCGCUCCCUAAUAGCACAAAAUGGGCUCUUAAGAGACUGCAGCCUGUCCCUCCGCCGCUCCCUUCCCUACCCUUCCCCCGACGCCGGGCUGCAGCGGUGACCACCCCGCUCCGGGCCCGCUGGGGAGGCCCGGGAGGCAGAGGCUGGGGUGGGCAGCCUCCCCCCGGCCCUUUCUCCAAGCCGGGAACGGCCCAAGCAAAGCCCUUUCCUUGGCAGGAUGCGGAGAAGGGAGAGCGGCCCGGGAUGCAGCCGAGCCCACCUGCAGCAGCGAGGGGCUCCGCCGCCUUGGGCAGGCCUAGGUCAGCCUGCCCGGCUUGUUUUGCUGCCACUUUUGUCCCGAGUCACGCGUUUUUUAUAGGAAUGGAGCCGAAUAUCGCGAUGGACGCACGGGAGCGUUUGGGUGUGAUGGGAUCCCCCCGUGAAGGUAAGGGCAGCCCGGCCUUGGGGCUGCGGGACACCCCAAGGGGGGCUCUGCCAACACCAGGGGCUCGGGCUCGGACCUCCCUCACCCUGCUGCCCCCUGCUCCCCUGGCUCAGCUCCUCUCCUUUCCCCCAAAACUUUCCAAAGUACCACCUGCCGCCGAGUUAACCUGCCCGCGGCCACACAUCCUUCCCGGGGCGCCGAGAAAAAAUUUCACAGCGGCGAAAGAGAAGAGAAACCAUGUCCAAAACCAAGUCCGAACCUGUGUGCCGUGUCCCUGCCCUCCGGGCCGGGGCGUUAAAGGGGGAAAAGAGAAAAACCACUUUGUCCGAAAUUGCAGGCAAAUAUCAUUUUUACAAGCUCUCAAUUAGCCAUCCCUUGGAUUAGCACCUUCUUACGCCUCCUCGCCAGAAUAAAGCAGCCG
This 1195-nucleotide long non-coding RNA is filed under the name Cyanistes caeruleus (blue tit). RNAcentral describes it as "lncRNA (ENSCCEG00000005252.1)". The record is from RNAcentral. Lineage: Eukaryota; Metazoa; Chordata; Aves; Passeriformes; Paridae.